CGAGGAUUAGCGCAGCUGGUAGCGUACUUGAUUUGGGAUCAAGGGGCCGCGAGUUCGAGUCUCGCAUCUUCGA
This 73-nucleotide transfer RNA is filed under the name Bacteriophage sp. Its description in RNAcentral is "tRNA-Pro". It matches the Rfam family "tRNA". From Rfam's summary of the family: Transfer RNA (tRNA) molecules are approximately 80 nucleotides in length. Their secondary structure includes four short double-helical elements and three loops (D, anti-codon, and T loops). Further hydrogen bonds mediate the characteristic L-shaped molecular structure. tRNAs have two regions of fundamental functional importance: the anti-codon, which is responsible for specific mRNA codon recognition, and the 3' end, to which the tRNAs corresponding amino acid is attached (by aminoacyl-tRNA synthetases). tRNAs cope with the degeneracy of the genetic code in two manners: having more than one tRNA (with a specific anti-codon) for a particular amino acid; and 'wobble' base-pairing, i.e. permitting non-standard base-pairing at the 3rd anti-codon position. The record is from RNAcentral.